Non-coding RNA from Streptococcus sp., 122 nucleotides. The record is from Rfam. NCBI's taxonomy places the organism in Bacteria, Bacillati, Bacillota, Bacilli, Lactobacillales, Streptococcaceae.
AAAUCCUUUAAUACUGUCCUGUGAGGCAGGCAAGGAGAAUCGCAGUAAAUAAAUAAGCAGUCCUGUUUUUUGCUGUACUGUAAGUUGUGAAAUCUCCUUGUAUCAGGGAGAUUUUUUCUAUU